UCUAUGAUAGAAGCACGUUCAUAUAUGAUCAACAUGAGUACAUGCAAGUCUACAACAAUAUUAUUUAUUAAUAUUAUUUAUUAAUAAUCCUCCUCUUGUAUAUAGAGGCUUGCAGACUCAUAGAAUUCCUCAACAUAGUCGAAGGCCUCAAUGGCUACGGAUUCUGUUUGAUCUACAAGAUGAACAAAGUCACCCUGUAGUUCUUGGUUGCGGCCCUAAUGGGAUUGAAGUUUUGGAAGGAAACAUACAAACUCUGUCCAUCAAAUGGGAGACCGUGACUAUCAUCAAUAUAAGAUACAGGACGAUAAACUUCCAUUCUGAUACGACGUAUACUAAUGGAGUCCACUCUUUUCGAUGCCCCACGACUAAACUCUGCAAUUACAUUGGACUCCUUUGUGUGGAAAUGAGGAAUUACUACUGGUAAGUAUCAGAAGCAAUAGACUAUAAAGGUACAUGUACGACAUUGGGACUUGACUAUAGCCCAAGGCUGCCUUUUUAUAUCAUUAGUAAGCUCUAGAGAAUAAAGCAAAAGAUAUCUUAUUUCAGUUCACUUAAUCUACCAAAGAGUUAUUGGGUUUAUAUUGGUAUAUUAUUACUUUAUUGGUUUUAUUGGUCUAGACAAACGUUGAAUAGAAACUUCUGUAAUGUAUAGUCCACUUGCCUAUAGUGCUAUUAUAGUUGUUUUUAUAAAUGAUAGAAAAUGAAUAUUAAGAUGUGCUUGAACUUUCUUUAUUA
Molecule: long non-coding RNA, 735 nt
Organism: Amphimedon queenslandica
Lineage: Eukaryota; Metazoa; Porifera; Demospongiae; Haplosclerida; Niphatidae
Exons: 4
Source: RefSeq, a predicted model, not a curated record